This 1446-nucleotide ribosomal RNA is filed under the name uncultured soil bacterium. Its description in RNAcentral is "bacterial SSU rRNA". It matches the Rfam family "Bacterial small subunit ribosomal RNA". The record is from RNAcentral.
GAUGAACGCUGGCGGCGUGCCUAAUACAUGCAAGUCGAACGAGGCAGCACUUGUAGCAAUACAGGAGCUGUCCUAGUGGCGAAUGGGUGAGUAACACGUAGGCGACCUGCCCCGAAGAGGGGGAUAACAGUCCGAAAGGACUGCUAAUACCCCGUACGUUCCGGGGGGCUAGAGGCCCCCGGAGGAAAGCUGUGCGUAAGCAUGGCGCUUUGGGAGGGGCCUGCGGCCCAUCAGCUUGUUGGUAGGGUAACGGCCUACCAAGGCGACGACGGGUAGGGGGCCUGAGAGGGUGGUCCCCCACACUGGCACUGAAACACGGGCCAGACACCUACGGGUGGCAGCAGUAGGGAAUAUUGCACAAUGGGCGAAAGCCUGAUGCAGCAACGCCGCGUGCGCGAUGAAGGCCUUCGGGUCGUAAAGCGCUUUUCGGGGGGAUGAGGAAGGACAGUACCCCCGGAAUAAGUCUCGGCUAACUACGUGCCAGCAGCCGCGGUAAAACGUAGGAGGCUAGCGUUAUCCGGAUUCACUGGGCGUAAAGCGCGUGUAGGCGGCUCGGUAAGUCGGGCGUGAAAUCUCCUGGCUCAACUGGGAGAGGCCGUCCGAAACUACCAGGCUCGAGGGCAGUAGAGGGAGGUGGAAUUCCGGGUGUAGCGGUGAAAUGCGUAGAUAUCCGGAGGAACACCUGUGGCGAAAGCGGCCUCCUGGACUGUCCCUGACGCUCAGACGCGAAAGCUAGGGGAGCGAACGGGAUUAGAAACCCCGGUAGUCCUAGCUGUAAACUAUGCGGACUUGGUGUUGGUGGCUUAAACUCCAUCCGUGCCGAAGCUAACGCGAUAAGUCCGCCGCCUGGGGACUACGGCCGCAAGGUUAAAACUCAAAGGAAUUGACGGGGGCCCGCACAAGCAGCGGAGCGUGUGGUUCAAUUCGAGGUUACGCGAAGAACCUUACCAGGGCUUGACAUGCACGUAGUAGGGAUCUGAAAGGUGACCGACCCUUCGGGGAGCGUGCACAGGUGCUGCAUGGCUGUCGUCAGCUCGUGUCGUGAGAUGUCCGGUUAAGUCCGGUAACGAGCGCAACCCCUGUCGCGUGUUACAUGUGUCACGCGAGACUGCCGGUAUCAAACCGGAGGAAGGUGGGGAUGACGUCAAGUCAGCAUGGCCUUUAUGUCCUGGGCUACACACACGCUACAAUGGCCGGUACAAUGGGUCGCAAAGCCGCGAGGCGGAGCCAAUCCUAAAAAGCCGGUCUCAGUUCGGAUCGCAGGCUGCAACCCGCCUGCGUGAAGUCGGAGUUGCUAGUAACCGCAGGACAGCUAUACUGCGGUGAAUACGUUCCCGGGCCUUGUACACACCGCCCGUCACGUCAUGGGAGCUGGCAACACCUGAAGUCGGUGACCCAACCGCAAGGAGGGAGCCGCCGAAGGUGGGGCUGGUGACUGGGACGAAG